Long non-coding RNA from Nerophis ophidion (straightnose pipefish), 1537 nucleotides. RefSeq lists it as uncharacterized. The record is from RefSeq and is a predicted model, not a curated record. NCBI's taxonomy places the organism in Eukaryota, Metazoa, Chordata, Actinopteri, Syngnathiformes, Syngnathidae. The transcript has 2 exons.
GAUAAUAUCGUACCGUGGCCUUAACACCGCGACGAUAUCGUACCGUGACAAUUUCAUAUGCAACAUCCCUAGGUCAUAACGCACAACAGAGGAGCAUUAUUGCCAAAAUCUAUCUCCUGGCGGACUGACAGCGCCGUCACAUUUACGAGCGCAUAAACGCCACCAUAACAUUAGCAGCUACGUUAGCCACCUUAGCGUUAGCAGCUACGUUAGCCCAACACUGCGCAUAUAACAACUUAGCUUAGCAAUGCUAACGCUAAUGUUAGCUCGCACACUAGCAUCGGAGCAGGUCAGCUAAUUUGGGUUUAUUGCGACAUUUCACCCCAUUUUAAGAGCAGAAUAGCCGCGCAAGGCUAAAUGCUGCGUUAAGACGUAAAAGGGGGGAAAAAAGCGAAGUAAUUAGGCACAGAUGUUCCCCUCUCAGUACUGUAAGCACAUAGGUUAGCUAAGGGUGUAUUUGAUGUCAGAUAAUUAGCGGCGGAUUGUUCCAGAACGUCGUGCUAGCUAAGCUGAGACAUAUAUGAUGUUUUAUAUUCACUUACCUGCAGAUGUAACGAUGCAAUAAGGGUGUUCCUUUUUUUUUUGGGACAAUCCCGCUGCUGUGGCAGGAAAACCCCUCAGUCUGGAGCCCAACGCCGCCUUCUCCCCCCCCGUCCGUCCGUCGCCCUCCCGGGGUACACGCAGCCCGCGAGCACCGCGCGUUAGGAAUGAUGCGAGCAGGGGCACAAUCAGGGCGCCUGUGGGUCCCGUCAGCGGUGAGGUCCACGCACACACACGCCCGCCCCCUCUUCUCGCUUCCCCCUCGCCUCUCUUCCACACACCGCCGAGGUGAUUACUCUUAUAUUCUCUUAAAAAAAUCAGACACAAGGGCGCCUUAACGUCACUUUCGGUGCUAAAAAUGUGUUUCUAUGUCUUACAUUGGCGCACACGACACACAAACAUGUACCUGCCCCCUCCUUCAUGUCUCCAUCUCUCUGACGCUUUUGUUAUUUUUUAUUUUUGCAAUAAUAAAAAAAGAAACUACAAUUAGACUUAUUUCCAAAUGCAUUGUGUGGCCCUGAAUGUUUUAGAGCACUGCGAGCUCCUUUGUUCCUAAGUGAAAGUGAAUUAGCUUCAAACAAUGGCAGGAGACCAGGCUGAAUAGAACAGUGGUUCUCAACCUUUUUUCAUUGAUGUGACAUUUUUUUUUAAUUCAAGUACCCCCUGAUCAGAGCAAAGCAUUUUUGGUUGGAAAAAAAGAGAUAAAGAAGUAAAAUACAGCACUUUGUCAUCAGUUUCUGAUUUAUUAGAUUUUAUGACAGUGCAAAAUAUUGUUCAUUUGUAGUGGUCUUUCUUGAACUAUUUGGAAAAAAAAGAUAUGAAAGUAACUAAAAACUUGUUGAAAAAUAAACAAGAGAUUCAAUUAUAAAUAAAGAUUUCUACACAUAGAAGUAAUCAUCAAUUUAAAGUGUCCUCUUUGGGGAUUGUAAUAGAGAUCCAUCUGGAUUCAUGAACUUAAUUCUAAACAUACAUCCAUCCAUCCAUUUACUACCGCUUA